UUCCCCCAUGGACAAAAGGAUCACCUUGUUUGUGGUGAUGUUCUUGUAUCUGUCCAGGGCAGAGCAGAUGCCAGUUCUUUGUUUGUCCUAGCUUGAUGCCUGAUUUGGUGACCAAAGCUGUUUUAUGCCUACGGCACAUAA
Rattus norvegicus (Norway rat) is the source of this 141-nucleotide small nucleolar RNA. Ensembl annotates it as small nucleolar RNA SNORA48. Lineage: Eukaryota; Metazoa; Chordata; Mammalia; Rodentia; Muridae. The record is from Ensembl.